This 496-nucleotide ribosomal RNA is filed under the name Triticum aestivum (bread wheat). Its description in RNAcentral is "partial small subunit ribosomal RNA". The record is from RNAcentral. Lineage: Eukaryota; Viridiplantae; Streptophyta; Magnoliopsida; Poales; Poaceae.
GAAACUCGUGAGAUUAAAGAAGUUACAUUGCUACGGCCUUUGUGCUGGGCCCGUUAAUUCCGAUCCUCACACUACGGCCGGCCUCCCAGCUCAUCCAGCCACGAGCGGCACUCCGCCUGGCCGGCUGGGCCGGGUUCCAGGUUGAUGCUCGAAAAAUUGACGUUGUUGAAUUUAUAUGCGAUAACCUCGACCUUAAUGGCGCCGACGACCGUGGUCUGAACAGCAGGUUACCUAGGAGCAAUUCCCUAAAUCUAACCUGAGUAAGGUUAAUGGUCUGUGAUUACGCGGGCCAUAACAAUAAAUAACAGUGGUGGAGGGACACAGUCCUAACCCAUUAAACGUGCGGACGACGGAAGGAACCUACACCAUCGGCAAAGAGUCCGAGGGAGAGGCCUUAGCUUGGGGUUAAGAGGCAGUGUGCAGUGGUGGUACCAUCCGGGGAUAGGACGGUAGCUUUCAACUAUCCCGUCUUUAAACUUACUACGCAGUGGCCGUG